GGGCUGGAGAGAUGGCUCGUA
Molecule: microRNA, 21 nt
Filed under: Mus musculus (house mouse)
Lineage: Eukaryota; Metazoa; Chordata; Mammalia; Rodentia; Muridae
Description: mmu-miR-3473e
Source: miRBase by way of RNAcentral